This 260-nucleotide ribosomal RNA is filed under the name uncultured bacterium. Its description in RNAcentral is "partial 16S ribosomal RNA". It matches the Rfam family "Bacterial small subunit ribosomal RNA", at positions 1059 to 1320 of the family's 1533-position model. The record is from RNAcentral.
CUCGUGUCGUGAGAUGUUGGGUUAAAGUCCCGCAACGAGCGCAACCCCUAUUGUUAGUUGCCAUCAUUCAGUUGGGCACUCUAGCGAGACUGCGGUAAUAAACCGGAGGAAGGUGGGGAUGACGUCAAAUCAUCAUGCCCCUUAUGACCUGGGCUACACACGUGCUACAAUGGUUGGUACAACGAGUUGCGAGUCGGUGACGGCAAGCUAAUCUCUUAAAGCCAAUCUCAGUUCGGAUUGUAGGCUGCAACUCGCCUACA